UACGGAGGGCGCGAGCGUUAAUCGGAAUUACUGGGCGUAAAGCGCGCGUAGGCUGUUGUGUAAGUUGGGGGUGAAAUCCCACGGCUCAACCGUGGAACAGCCCUUGAUACUGCGCGACUUGAAUCCGGGAGAGGGUGGCGGAAUUCCAGGUGUAGGAGUGAAAUCCGUAGAUAUCUGGAGGAACAUCAGUGGCGAAGGCGGCCACCUGGACCGGUAUUGACGCUGAGGCGCGAAAGCGUGGGGAGCAAGCAGG
Molecule: ribosomal RNA, 253 nt
Filed under: uncultured bacterium
Lineage: Bacteria
Description: partial 16S ribosomal RNA
Rfam family: Bacterial small subunit ribosomal RNA
Source: RNAcentral